This 85-nucleotide transfer RNA is filed under the name Felis catus (domestic cat). It matches the Rfam family "tRNA". Rfam says of the family: Transfer RNA (tRNA) molecules are approximately 80 nucleotides in length. Lineage: Eukaryota; Metazoa; Chordata; Mammalia; Carnivora; Felidae. The record is from Rfam by way of RNAcentral. RNAcentral also lists the same sequence under 4 other names.
GCCUGGGUGGCUCAGUUGGUUAAACGUCUGACUUUGGCUUGGGUCAUGAUCUUGUGGUUUGUGGGUUCAAUCCCCACCUCAGGCU